This 396-nucleotide long non-coding RNA is filed under the name Bemisia tabaci. Its description in RNAcentral is "lncRNA ENSSSA1NGG003436". Lineage: Eukaryota; Metazoa; Arthropoda; Insecta; Hemiptera; Aleyrodidae. The record is from RNAcentral.
AUUUUUAAAAUUUUCCUUUGACUUUUGCUUAUUUUCGAUAAUUUUUGACAAACAUUUCGUUGAUAAUAACCAUAUGCUAAUCAUACUAUAGUCUUUGCUUGGCUGUAAACAGACUACAUAACCUCGCUACGCCUUCGCCUUCGCUUCGUGUUGUCUCGUUGGUCUCGUGCGGUGUCAGCAAAAGGAAAGUGAUAUCGUGUAAACUUGUCAUAAACUGAGCGAGCCGGUUGAUAACCUCUGGUGUGCGAUAUUUUCUGUUUUUUCACCUCAUUGCAGAUUUAUUGAAGAUUUAUUAGAGCGGAGGAACAGCUAUUUAAGCAGGUUUUGGAAUGUUGGUCUAUAUUGCAAUCUCAUGCUCUCUUUUGGUACAGAAAUGGAAUAAAGUGCUUGCUAUUU